RNAcentral lists this ribosomal RNA (497 nucleotides) under uncultured bacterium. Its description in RNAcentral is "partial 16S ribosomal RNA". It matches the Rfam family "Bacterial small subunit ribosomal RNA", at positions 28 to 507 of the family's 1533-position model. The record is from RNAcentral.
GAUGAACGCUGGCGGCGUGCCUAAUACAUGCAAGUCGAGCGAACAGACGAGGAGCUUGCUCCUCUGACGUUAGCGGCGGACGGGUGAGUAACACGUGGAUAACCUACCUAUAUGACUGGGAUAACUUCGGGAAACCGGAGCUAAUACCGGAUAAUAUAUUGAACCGCAUGGUUCAAUAGUUAAAGACGGCUUUGCUGUCACUUAUAGCUGGAUCCGCGCCGCAUUAGCUAGUUGGUAAGGUAACGGCUUACCAAGGCGACGAUGCGUAGCCGACCUGAGAGGGUGAUCGGCCACACUGGAACUGAGACACGGUCCAGACUCCUACGGGAGGCAGCAGUAGGGAAUCUUCCGCAAUGGGCGAAAGCCUGACGGAGCAACGCCGCGUGAGUGAUGAAGGUCUUCGGAUCGUAAAACUCUGUUAUUAGGGAAGAACAAAUGUGUAAGUAACUAUGCACGUCUUGACGGUACCUAAUCAGAAAGCCACGGCUAACUACGUG